UCUGUAUGUUUUGUUUUGUUUUUGUUGUUUAUUGCAGAGUACUGAGAGCCAGCAUCACCACCCAUUACACUGGAAAUGCACUGCACAGCACAGCACGACGAACACCACACCGGAGAGCACUUGCAGUGCACUAAGCAGACAAGUUUUCAGGUCUCGUCUCAUCUCGGUUUCCUUUAUCCCCGCCUGAGGUCAUUCAGAGCUGCCUAUGAUGUUUUGAUGCAAGCUGGUCAUUGAUGCAAGGCUUCCUGCUUUCAAAGAGGCCCUAGUCUGUCUACAUGCUGUGACAGGGAGAUUUGCUGAUUUAUUUAAAAGGUUAACCCGGAAACUCUAGCCCAGGGAAAGUUAACAAUUAAAGGUAAUUUCCAAUCCGACGACUGCCACUGUGAAAUCCAUUCUAUUUCCCCUGCAAUUAAGGAGCCACUUUUCCAUAGAAAGAGAUUACAAUCUGUAUACAGUUUAAAUUUAAACCUCCAUGUCUCCUGUAUUAGUCAAAACAGAGUUCUUGCAAAGUAAAGGUUGGUUCAUACUUCAGUUUCUGGUCGGAGUGGAGGGUCUCAGACCCUGUGCGACAGGUCAGAAUGACGUGUGUCCGUUUUGGAAAGUCGUACAGCCUUUUCUCAUGCGUCUGUGACCUGAAAUGUUAAAAAAUGUCCACAUUUGCUGCAUGGUCGGGGUGAUGCUGCACAGCUUUUAUAGCUGUCUGCACCUGAUGUAUCGCAUUCAUCUGUGACAGAAGUAUGAACCAGCCCUAACACUUUAUUUGAAAACAGGCAGUUGCUAUGCGUACGGCUGCUGUACAUAUUAGAAGAAUUCUAUUUUUCCGGCAAUGUGUCACAUGACUCGAAAUUACAUCAUUAUUCUCCUGGAAGGCUAGGGGGUAGUUUAUUAAUACGGCUACAGCAGCUGGAACAAUAAUAUGCGUACAACUGCUGUACAUAUUAGAAGAAUGCUGAUGUGCCACACUAUAGCUACAAAUCUUACAUUGAAGCGCCACCUGAUGAUGAUACAAAUGUAUACACAUGGUGUGUAAAUGGUGUUUAUUAUUUAUCACUCAAAGGGAUGUGGUAAUAACACAUUUUAAUAAAGACUUAAGUCAUUCAAACAAACA
This is a long non-coding RNA of Acipenser ruthenus (sterlet), 1108 nucleotides long. RefSeq lists it as uncharacterized. The transcript has 3 exons. Lineage: Eukaryota; Metazoa; Chordata; Actinopteri; Acipenseriformes; Acipenseridae. The record is from RefSeq and is a predicted model, not a curated record.